UACGGAGGAUGCGAGCGUUAUCCGGAUUUAUUGGGUUUGAAGGGUGCGUAGGCGGACUGUCAAGUCAGCGGUAAAAUUGAGAGGCUCAACCUCUUCCCGCCGUUGAAACUGGUGGUCUUGAGUGGAUGAGAAGUACGCGGAAUGCGUGGUGUAGCGGUGAAAUGCAUAGAUAUCACGCAGAACUCCGAUUGCGAAGGCAGCGUACCGGCAUCCAACUGACGCUGAGGCACGAAAGCGUGGGGAUCAAACAGG
RNAcentral lists this ribosomal RNA (252 nucleotides) under uncultured bacterium. RNAcentral's name for it is "partial 16S ribosomal RNA". It matches the Rfam family "Bacterial small subunit ribosomal RNA", at positions 524 to 776 of the family's 1533-position model. The record is from RNAcentral.